Long non-coding RNA from Cyanistes caeruleus (blue tit), 629 nucleotides. RefSeq lists it as uncharacterized. NCBI's taxonomy places the organism in Eukaryota, Metazoa, Chordata, Aves, Passeriformes, Paridae. The record is from RefSeq and is a predicted model, not a curated record.
UCCAUCUGCUAGGAAUGCUGUGUUUAAUUUGGGGGGGGAGACUAGGACAGCAGUGUCCCUCAUUUGGAAAGAGUAGGACCGAAAGCUCUGGUGAAGGCAUCCUCUGUAGAUCAGAAGGCUCCAAUUCAAAGCAUUUGUCGCACCAGUUUUGGCUUGACCACCUCGUAUCAUUCACCCAGACUUGAUAUUUCUCUUUGUACCUAUGAUCCAGAACCUUGGCAUAGGCAUGGACAUAACCAUAGGAGGUUUGAUCUGGUCUGGUUUUGCUCUGAUACAGCUCCCAGCACACAUAGUCAUGACAGGAUGCGGCAGCUGCAUGUGCCUUUCCUUGCCUGUGUGUAUCCUACUGUAUCACUGCAGUACAGAGUAUCCCAUUCUUGACUCUUCGAGAUGUACAGGCCCACUGUAAGAAACAAGUGACACUGUCUCAUUCUUUCCCUUGAAAUGGAGAAUCUGUCAAACAAGGAGAGGCUGAGAACCGGGUCUGUUGAGGCUGAGAAGAAAAAGCUCAGGGCAGAGUUUAUCAACAUCUGAUGGGUGAAAUAAGGAUGAAGCCACACUCAUCCUAGUAGCAUCCAGUAACAGGCAGUUAUUCUCCUGUGAGAAGCAAUCGUCACAAAUAUAAAAUA